This 207-nucleotide ribosomal RNA is filed under the name uncultured bacterium. Its description in RNAcentral is "partial 16S ribosomal RNA". It matches the Rfam family "Bacterial small subunit ribosomal RNA", at positions 568 to 774 of the family's 1533-position model. The record is from RNAcentral.
AGUGUAGGUGGUUAGUUAUGUCUUAUGUGAAAGCCCACGGCUUAACUGUGGGAGUGCAUGAGAAACUGGCUGACUAGAGUGCGAGAGAGGUAAGUGGAAUUCCUAGUGUAGCGGUAGAAUGCGUAGAGAUUAGGAGGAACACCAGAGGCGAAGGCGACUUACUGGCUCGUAACUGACACUGAGACUCGAAAGCGUGGGGAGCAAACA